AUACCAUGAUGAUGACACCUUCCGAGCAAUUCCUUGAACUUUUCCCAAGCCUCGUACAAACUCUCAUAUUCAAGUUGAUGGAAUGAAGUAAUCUCAAUUCGAAAUUU
Molecule: small nucleolar RNA, 107 nt
Rfam family: Plant small nucleolar RNA R71
About the family: R71 is a member of the C/D box family of snoRNAs containing the C (UGAUGA) and D (CUGA) box motifs. Multiple nearly identical copies of this snoRNA have been identified in Arabidopsis, and it is thought to function as a 2'-O-ribose methylation guide for 18S ribosomal RNA.
Source: Rfam